UUGGUAAAUGAUGACCCAGAUUUAAAACUAAUUCUAAACAUUCCCAUACUGACAUCUGUCUACUAUAAUGCCUCACUGGCAACUGUGAGAUGGAGCCAUGAAAAAUAACAGAACAAAACAGCAGAAUAGUCAGGAAUUUAAAGGCAGGGGAUGAAAACCAAGCUGCGGCUUUAACCUUGAAGCUUGGUAGACAUGCAGGAGGCCUUGUUUGAAUGAGUUUGUUUAUGUCAGCCUCAAAAAAAAAGAAGACAGAUAUGUGAUAUUAUUUUGAACAUUUUCCCCACAAACUCCCCUAUAAUCCACUGUGUUCCAAGCUCAUUUCCUUGCAUAAGAAAAAGGCAGGUUGACAGGAAAAUUGCUGCCCCCGCCAACACAGUUUACAUUUGGAGCUGACAUCCCACUAACAACAGAGGAAACCAAAGGAUGCCUAGGUCAAGAGGAGAACAUAUUCUCAAAUCUGGCUACGACCGACCAGUAACUGAACAGAUUCAUCCUUCAGGCCUGACCUGGGAGCUGAGGCAGAAAUAUGAAUUUCAAACUGGGGUGGGGGGUGCCAUAUGGGAGCUCAGAAAAAUGGAAGUGGAUCGGAGAUAGACAAGAGAGGAAUCUGUCAUUCUUGGGCUCGGAUGUCGGGAUCUACGUGAACGGACAGAUGGCCGGCCCUCAGGAAGGGCUUGGGGCGUUGGAUUUGCUCUCAGACCGUGGGAAAGUCUUUGGCUGACUUCACCUGCUCAGGGAGCUGAUGUGACUGGAUUAAACAGCAAAGAAAGAAGUGAGAAAAGAAAAACUGACACGGACAACGGUGCACAAGGUUUUGUGCAAGUGCGAGCAUUUUCUCAUAUCUUGUUUAAGAAAGAGAGAAAAAUGGGACAAAUGGGACCCAUUAAAACGAUUUACUAUUUGAAUUUAGAUUUGUUUUCAGCAUACAUGCUUUGUAAAAUAUUUUUUUAGUGUAUGCAAAGGGAGACAGGGUGGAUGGGUUCAUUCUAUUUUUUGCAUGUGUCUUUGUAAUCCUAAUUGGAAACAGUUGAUCCUCAGUUUGUUGGGACAUUAGACAUGAUGUUUGGCCAUCUCUCUCUCUGCUUUUGAUUAUCUCUGUCUCAGAGAGACGGCCAUGUGGAGGCUUUGAUUUAUUGUUAUUAAAAAAGAAUGGGGCCGUUUGUCAGCCUUUCAUCUGAUUGAUGCUAAGAUGCAUGCACACUUCAGAUUCAUACUCAUAAGGAAGCACGGGGCCGUGCAUUUAAUGGGUCAUUAAUUAUCUGUUUGAAUGUGCAAUAAAGUUAGAUAAAUUACUUGCGCUGAAACAUCGUGUUUUUCUCAUUUCAUUUAGUGUGUGGAUGUGAGAAUUUAUGAAGACGCCACUUAAAGGUGUGCUGACAAGUGUGAAACUCCAUUUUAAACCAUACAAAUGAAUGAUUGAAAACAAAAAUCACUGUCAUAACUGGAAUAAUGAACAGUGCAGCAUGACGUCCAGACAGGUAGCUCUUUAUUCACAGCUCAAGGAUUCCCCUCUGCGUUCUGAGUGCAGAUUUCAGCAAAAGAAAAGCAAAGAUCCUCACGUUCAAACACCAUCACCUGUGAGGUUGUCAAUUCAUGUUCCACUUGAAUUCGAUAUUGUUUUUGAUAAGUUACAGUAACCAUGUCAGUAAACUCAUUUUUAACAUUUUCAGGAUGGUGUGUGUGUGUUGUGUCUUUGAGAUUAGUUACUGACAAUAUCAUCCAGUUAAUUUUCACUUACACUAUAAUCUAUUACACAUUUUAGAAAUAUAUAGAUAAAUAUAUUUAACGCUGUUUUUGAUUAUUCUUUCAGAUUUAACUGGCAGCGACUUUGUGGAAAAUUCAGGGAAAAAAACUUGCCAA
Molecule: long non-coding RNA, 1860 nt
Organism: Micropterus salmoides (largemouth bass)
Lineage: Eukaryota; Metazoa; Chordata; Actinopteri; Centrarchiformes; Centrarchidae
Exons: 6
Source: RefSeq, a predicted model, not a curated record